GAUGAAGAACGUAGCGAAAUGCGAUAAGUAGUGUGAAUUGCAGAAUUCAGUGAAUCAUCGAAUCUUUGAACGCACAUUGCGCCCGCUAGUAUUCUGGCGGGCAUGCCUGUUCGAGCGUCAUUUCAACCAUCAAGCCCUUUAGCUUGUGUUGGGGACCUGCGGCUGCCGCAGCCCCCGAAAUGCAGUGGCGGGCUCGUUGUCACACCGAGUGCAGUAAUCAUUCUUCUCUCCGGGCGUGGCGGCGGGUUCCGGCCGUAAAAUCACCAAUUUAUCAAGGUUGACCUCGGAUCAGGUAGGAAUACCCGCUGAACUUAAGCAUAUCAAUAAGCGGAGGA
RNAcentral lists this unclassified non-coding RNA (335 nucleotides) under soil metagenome. RNAcentral describes it as "partial contains 5.8S ribosomal RNA, internal transcribed spacer 2, and large subunit ribosomal RNA". The stretch from base 1 to 120 matches the Rfam family "5.8S ribosomal RNA", at positions 35 to 154 of the family's 154-position model. The record is from RNAcentral.